Molecule: small nuclear RNA, 23 nt
Filed under: Arabidopsis thaliana (thale cress)
Lineage: Eukaryota; Viridiplantae; Streptophyta; Magnoliopsida; Brassicales; Brassicaceae
Description: snRNA_01649
Source: RNAcentral
UUCCUACUAGAUGAGGGUGAUUU